GGCGAACGGGUGAGUAAUACUUAGGAAUCUGCCCAAUAGUGGGGGACAACCCGGGGAAACCCGGGCUAAUACCGCAUACGCUCUACGGAGGAAAGCAGGGGAUCUUCGGACCUUGCGCUAUUGGAUGAGCCUAAGUCGGAUUAGCUUGUUGGUGGGGUAAAGGCCUACCAAGGCGACGAUCCGUAGCUGGUCUGAGAGGACGAUCAGCCACACUGGGACUGAGACACGGCCCAG
This 234-nucleotide ribosomal RNA is filed under the name uncultured bacterium. Its description in RNAcentral is "partial 16S ribosomal RNA". It matches the Rfam family "Bacterial small subunit ribosomal RNA", at positions 97 to 334 of the family's 1533-position model. The record is from RNAcentral.